AUUGAACGCUGGCGGCAUGCCUUACACAUGCAAGUCGAACGGUAACAGGUCUUCGGAUGCUGACGAGUGGCGAACGGGUGAGUAAUACAUCGGAACGUGCCUAGUAGUGGGGGAUAACUACUCGAAAGAGUGGCUAAUACCGCAUGAGAUCUACGGAUGAAAGCAGGGGAUCGCAAGACCUUGUGCUACUAGAGCGGCCGAUGGCAGAUUAGGUAGUUGGUGGGAUAAAAGCUUACCAAGCCGACGAUCUGUAGCUGGUCUGAGAGGACGAUCGGCCACACUGGGACUGAGACACGGCCCAGACUCCUACGUGAGGCAGCAGUGGGGAAUUUUGGACAAUGGGCGCAAGCCUGAUCCAGCAAUGCCGCGUGCAGGAUGAAGGCCUUCGGGUUGUAAACUGCUUUUGUACGGAACGAAAAGCCCCGGGUUAAUACCCUGGGGUCAUGACGGUACCGUAAGAAUAAGCACCGGCUAACUACGUGCCAGCCGCCGCUGUAA
Molecule: ribosomal RNA, 498 nt
Filed under: uncultured bacterium
Lineage: Bacteria
Description: partial 16S ribosomal RNA
Rfam family: Bacterial small subunit ribosomal RNA
Source: RNAcentral